RNAcentral lists this ribosomal RNA (274 nucleotides) under uncultured bacterium. RNAcentral describes it as "partial 16S ribosomal RNA". It matches the Rfam family "Bacterial small subunit ribosomal RNA", at positions 523 to 796 of the family's 1533-position model. The record is from RNAcentral.
AUACGGGGGGUGCAAGCGUUAUUCGGAUUUAUUGGGCGUAAAGAGCGCGUAGGCGGCUUGGUAAGUCAGAUGUGAAAGCCCGGGGCUCAACCCCGGAAGUGCAUUUGAAACUAUCAGGCUUGAGUAUGGGAGAGGGAAGUGGAAUUCCUGGUGUAGAGGUGAAAUUCGUAGAUAUCAGGAGGAACACCGGUGGCGAAGGCGACUUCCUGAACCAAUACUGACGUUGAGGCGCGAAGGCGUGGGGAGCAAACAGGAUUAGAAACCCCAGUAGUCC